UUUUUUUUUUUUUUUUUGGCUGUACCCAUAGUAUAUGGAAGUUCCCACGCCAUGGAUCAAACCCAGGCCAGGGCUGUAACCAGAGCCACUGCAGUGAAAACACUGGAUCCCUAACCCACAGAGUCACAAGGGAACUCCAAUGGAGGAUAAGACACUGAUUAAAGAUUCACUUUUGGAGUUCCCAUCACGGCUCAGAGGAAACAAAUCUGACCAGGAACCAUGAGGUUGCAGGUUCGAUUCCUAGCCUCGCUUAGUAGGUUAAGGAUCCAGCAUUGCUGUGACCUGUGGUGUAGGUAACAAAUGCAGCUUGGAUCCCAUGUUGCUAUGGCUGUGGCAUAGGCCAGCAGCUGUAGCUCCAAUGUGACCCCUAGUCUAUAAACUUCCAUAUUCUGUACUUGCAGCCCUAAAAAAACCCAAAAAACAAAAAAAACCCCACCCCCUCAAGACCAUAGUAGAUAACUGUUUCUCCUAAACUCAUAGAGACAGAGAGUAUUAAAUGAAUAGGCAGUGGAAUUAUUCCCAAUUAAAAGAGCAAGAGAAAUCCCCUGAAAGAACAAAUAAUGAAACAGAGUUCACCAGUCUACUAAACAGAGUUCAAAAAGGUAGUAAUAAAAGUGCUAACUGAAUUAAGAAGGAUUAUUCAGUAGCAAGGCAGAUCACUGUAACAAGAAACUAGAAACUAUAAAGAUAAACCAAUCCAAAAUAGACAAUUCAAUUGGUUAGAUGAAAACCAACCCAGAAGCAAUCAAUAGUCAGCUAAAUGAUGUGGAAGAAUGAAUAAGUGAUUGGAAGAUAGAAUAAUGGAACUAACCCACUUAGAAUAGCAGACAGAAAAGACAAAUGAAAAAAAUAUAAACAUACAAGAUCUAUGGGAUAGCAUAAAACAUGCCAACCUAUGUAUAAUAGGAGUUCCAGAGGAGAACAGAGAGAGAAGGGGAUCAAAAAAUGCAUUUGAAGCAAUCAUUGCUGAAAAUUUUCCAAACCUCAUGAAGGCAAUAGAUAGGAUUUUCCAUUGUGGCUCAGUGGCAACAAACUAGUCUAGUAUCCACAAGGACACGGGUUUGAUCUCUUGCCUUGCUCAGUGGAUUAAGAAUCUGGUGUUGCUGACAGCUGUGGUGUAGGUUGCAGACAUGGUUCAGAUCCUACGUUGCUGUGGCUGUGGUGUAGGCCAGCAGCUGCAGAUCUGAUUCAACCCCUAGCCUGGGAACUUCUAUAUGCCAUAGGUGUGGCCCUAAAAAGACACACACACACACCCCUAGAAAUCCAGGUACAGGAAGCACAGAGGCUCCAGAACAAGAUAAACCCUCACAUCAAGAUAUCUUAAUUCAAAUGGCACAAGUUAAGGAGAGAUUCUAAAGGCAGCAAGAGAAAAUCAGUUACAAGGGUCCACCUCCAAAAAGGCUAUCAGCUGAUGACUCAGAAGAAACUCUGCAGGCCAGAAGGGAAUUGCAUGAAACGGUCAAAGUGCUGAAGGGGAAAAACAUGCAACUUAGGAUAUUCUACCCAGCAAGACUAUCAUUUAGAAUAGAAGGGAAGAGGAAGGACUUCCCAGACAAGCAAAAACUAAAAGAAUUCAGUGACACUAAACCUACUUUAAAAUAAAUAUUGAAGGGUGUUCUCCAAAUAGAAAAUAAGUAAAAUCCUAUAGGAAAGGAAAAAUCAAAAUAGUAAAGGCAAAUAUAUAUAAAGAUUGAAGAUCACUUAAAUAAGCCAGUAUAUAGAUUAAAAAAAAUAAAGUUUGUAAAAGUUACUUUAUCUACGAAAAAAAAGUAAAAGGAUAAACAUGAAGAUGUGAAACAGGAUAUCAAAUUCACAAAAUAUGGGUAGGGAGAGUAAAAAAAUUGUAGAUCUUUUAGAAUGUAUCUGAACUUGAAUGACAAUAAGUUUAAAGAAAGUAGAUUUGGUUAUGGAUCAAUGUAUUUGAACGCCAUGGUAACUACAAAUCACAAAUAUAAAGUAGUUUCACAAAAACCAAAAGAAAGGAACUCAAACAUACCACAAAAGGAAACCGUCAAACUACAUAAGGAAAAACAAAAAGAAGAAGAAAUGAACAGAGUGGCUCUUGGAGAGGGCAUGGAAGAUCCACACCCUUUCCCCAUACCUUGCCUUAUGCAUCUCUUCCAUCUGGCUGUUGCUGCGUUCUAUCUUUUUUUUCCCUUAGGGCUGAAACUGUGGAAUUUGGAGGUUCCCAGGCUACGGGUCAAAUUGGAGCUGCAGAAAAGAAGCAAAAUCCUAUAGGAAAAUCCUAUAGCUAUAGUAACACCAGAUCUGAGUCACAUCUGCAAUCUACACUGCAGCUCAUGGCAACACUGGGUCAUUAACCCACUGAGUAAGGCCAGGGAUCAAAUCCAAUUCCUCACGGAUACUAGUUGGUCUCUUAACCUGCUGAGCCACAAAGCCACAAAGGGGACUCCCUGCAUUAUAACCUUUUAUAAAAAACCAGUGAUCUAGGAGGUUGAAAAUUCUAAGAAAAUGAAACUGAAAAACCCAAAACAAACCAGUAAAAAGUUCCCAUGUGUGAAUCGUAAAACUGCCAACUCCUGUAUGACCUUUGAAAAGACACUAAACUUCAACAAAAUUUAGUUUUUUCAUCUCUAAAAUGGAAAUAAUUAUCUCAGUGGAUUGCUGUGAGGUUCCAAUAAAUAAGAUUACCAGAUUUAGAAAAUAAAAAUAGUUGCCCAGUUAUAUUUGUAUUUCAGAUAAUUAGUGUGAGCAUGACCCAAAUAUUAUACAUUACAUACGACAUAUUUAUAGUAAAUAAUCUGUUAUCUAUCUGAAAUUCAAUUUUUUUUUUGUUUUUUUUUGGGGGGGGGGCGGGGGCACACACGUGCGGCAUAUGGAAGUUCCCAGGCUAGGGGUCCAAUCGGAGGUGCAGCUUCUGGCCUACAGCACAGGUCACAGCAACACUGGAUUCUUAACCCACUGAGCAAGGCCAGGGAUUGAACCUGCAUCCUUAUGGAUACUAGUUGGGUUCGUUACCACUGAUGUACAAUGGGAACUCCCUGAAAUUCAAAUUUAAAUGGGUGUCCUAUACUUUAUUUGUAGUCUUACAGAGCUAAUCUAUAUUAAAAUGAC
RNAcentral lists this long non-coding RNA (3075 nucleotides) under Sus scrofa (pig). Its description in RNAcentral is "lncRNA (ENSSSCG00065060295.1)". The record is from RNAcentral. Lineage: Eukaryota; Metazoa; Chordata; Mammalia; Artiodactyla; Suidae.